Molecule: long non-coding RNA, 2751 nt
Filed under: Homo sapiens (human)
Lineage: Eukaryota; Metazoa; Chordata; Mammalia; Primates; Hominidae
Description: non-protein coding lnc-LHFPL5-1:2
Source: RNAcentral
GCGGAGCCUACCACCUGCUCCCGAGGAGGGGGCGGCAAGGAGAGGGAGGGGGCGCAGCGGGGAGGAACGCCGGGGUGAACGUUGAAGGAGUGUUAGAGAUCCAAGCUUGGAAACCUGGCAAGGUUAGUUUUGUUCUAUUUGUUUAGAAAAGGCGCAGAGAGCGGCAGGGCUCUCUGCAUGCUGCUGAGUCAGAGCUUCGGAGGCAACUGGGAUCUGCCUCAGUUUCCUGGCCUGUAAAAUGGAUUAAUCAGGCAUGUCCCAGUUUCUCCUUCCCUGAGCUAUUGUGAGCCCAGUUGAGAUACUAUUUAAAGAAAAUGGAAAAAAAUUACAUGUGAGAAAGAAAAGGGAGUGGGAGCAACACAAAAAGACUGGAAGGAAAGAACCUGUGACCCUAUUAUCACUUGAAAAGUAAAAACUUCAAAAGUGAAUUUUCUCUUGAAAUUUCAAGUUUAAGUGAAAGCUGUAAAGGAAAGAAGGGGAAAUGAGAAUAAAAACGUUUAAUGUUUUCUUAUUCUACCACCUUCAAUACAUGAUAAAGCUGUCUUGUUUAUAAGUUUUUUUUGUUUUUAUUUUCUAAGUGCAUUAUCUCAUUUGAUGUUUAUGGCAACUUAAAGGCAAAAUAGUUAUUACUUCCAUUACACAAAGACACUAAACUUAAGAGGGCCUGCCUAUAUGUUCAGAAUCUUGGUGUACGACCCAGUUAUUUAAUCAUGAAGCCCUUAUUGUAUAGCAGGCUCAGCAAAGUUUUUCUUUGGGCCGUACAGUAAAUAUUUAGGCUUUGUGGACCAUAAGAUCUCUUUCUCAGCUACUCAACUCUGCCAUUGGAGCUCAAAAGCAGUCAUAGAAAAUAUGGGCUGUGUUCCUAUAAAGAUUUAUGUAUGGACACUGAAAUUUGAAUUUCAUAUAAUUUUCACGUCAUAAAAUGUUCUUCUAUUGAUUUAAACAUGGUCUUUGUUAGGUUUUGAAGGGAAGGUGAGGGUUAAAGAAAGACAGAGAGAGCAGUCUUGCUCUGCUGCCUAGGCCGGAGUACAGUGGCAUGAUCUCGGCUCACUGCAGCCUGGACAUCCAGGGCUCAAGUGAUCCUCCCACCUCAGCCUCCCAAGGUGCUGGAAUUACAGGUGUGAGCCACUGAGCCAGGCCCUUUUGAUCUUUUUUCAACCGUUUCAACGGUUAUUCUUAUUUCAGAUCUUAGUUUACCAACCCAUGUUGUAAAGUACCGCAGCUGGACAGAGUGGAAGCUCUGAAGACCUUUGCUCUGAACAAGUAAUUGAGAAGGGAAGAUGAGAGGGCAAUAGUACAGCACAAGUCAAGCAUGGGGGCUUUGGCAGAACUUAUUGAGCAAAGUAAGUAAUUAAGCCCAUCCAGAGAAGGCAGUUUUUGAGCUGGGUAUUAGGAAAUAUGUAAGAUUUCUAUAGGUGGAGAAGGAGAUGUCAGGCAUUCCUGAAUGAGAAAAUACAUUGAGCAAAAAGGCACAGACGUGGACACCUGUAGGUGGGGGCUAGGAUUGGGGCUGGUAACAACUGAAGGGAUGAAAUGGAAGGUGAGGCUGGAAAGGCAGGUUAGCCAAAUUUGAAAUUUAGAUAAUUGAUAUAUGUUGCAUGGAACCUGAAUGAUAGCAUGUCUGAGUAUAUUGCAAAAGAAGACAGUACCUGUUGGCCAAGGAAGGAUGCAGCCCAGUCUAUUCCCUGCUGUAAAGUUGAAAACAAAAGGAAGGUUAGGACAGACAGGGAAGCCCUAGACUCUGAGGGUUGUGUGAGUUCAGGAUAACCGCGUGUGGUUUAGAAAAGACAGGGAGAGAGCUGAUAGCUAGGAAAAAUCCCAGAAUUGGGAAAGUACUGCCCACCCCAAAGUAAACUGUUUGAGUGUAGAGACCCUGCUUAGGUUUUCCUUGAUGUAAACUCAGUGCCUACACAGUGUUAGGCACUUAGUAGGUGCUCAUAUAUUUGUCUAAUAAAAGAAUAAAUGGGCCAGGCACAGUGGCUUAUGCCUGUAAUCCCAGCACUUUGGGAGGCCGAGGCGGGCAGAUCACAAGGUUAAGAGAUCGAGACCAUCCUGGCCAACAUGGUGAAACCUCAUCUCUACUAAAAAUACAAAAGUAGCCGGGCAUGGUGGCACAUGCCUGUAAUCCCAGCUACUUGGGAGGCUGAGGCAGGAGAAUCGCUUGAACCCGGGAGGCGGAGGUUGCAGUGAGCCGAGAUUGCACCACUGCACUCCAGCCUGGGCAACAAGAGCAAAACUCCGUCUCAAAAGAAAAAAAAAAGAAUAAAUGAUCUGCAGUUUAUGAGAAAUGUCAGGAUGAAAGAGAGAGAAAACACUGAGAGGGACAAUAUUAGAGCUGUAUUAAAUCUGAAUUGGUUAUUGCAGACCCAUCAAAAAGGAAAUAUGUUCAGCUUGGCAUGAUACAGUCGUACCUAUCCUGACUCUGAGUAGGCUAUUGCUUCUCUAAGAGCUUACUAACCAUCUGUUUAAUAACUCGUUUUCAGAAUUUUUCCAGAGUCAAUGUGAAGUUCACUGGACUGAGUUCCCAGAAUUGACCAUUUCUCUUUUUUUUCCAUCUGUUUUUCUCUAUUCCUCCAUCAUGCUUUGGCUCUCCACUUUUUCUAAGACCUCUAUAACUGUUCAUGUAAGCACGUUUGUUCAUUUCCCCUAUUCUACAACCAUCCCCUUUUUGUGCAUUUUGCUUGAAAUGUAACUUUAAAAAUAGUUUCUUCUCCCAAGUUUGCAGAGCUUGGCCUAUUCUGGACUUUUAAC